RNAcentral lists this transfer RNA (72 nucleotides) under Pseudomonadota bacterium. RNAcentral describes it as "tRNA-Glu". It matches the Rfam family "tRNA". Rfam says of the family: Transfer RNA (tRNA) molecules are approximately 80 nucleotides in length. Their secondary structure includes four short double-helical elements and three loops (D, anti-codon, and T loops). Lineage: Bacteria; Pseudomonadati; Pseudomonadota. The record is from RNAcentral. RNAcentral also lists the same sequence under 5 other names.
GGCGCAUUCGUCUAAGGGUUAGGACACGGGCCUUUCAAGCCCGUAGUAGGGGUUCGAGUCCCCUAUGCGCCA